AUUGCCCUAGUAACGGCGAGUGAAGCGGCAACAGCUCAAAUUUGAAAUCUGGCGUCUUCGGCGUCCGAGUUGUAAUUUGCAGAGGGCGCUUUGGCAUUGGCAGCGGUCCAAGUUCCUUGGAACAGGACGUCACAGAGGGUGAGAAUCCCGUACGUGGUCGCUAGCCUUUACCGUGUAAAGCCCCUUCGACGAGUCGAGUUGUUUGGGAAUGCAGCUCUAAAUGGGAGGUAAAUUUCUUCUAAAGCUAAAUACUGGCCAGAGACCGAUAGCGCACAAGUAGAGUGAUCGAAAGAUGAAAAGCACUUUGGAAAGAGAGUUAAAAAGCACGUGAAAUUGUUGAAAGGGAAGCGCUUGCAGCCAGACUUGCCUGUAGUUGCUCAUCCGGGUUUCUACCCGGUGCACUCUUCUACGGGCAGGCCAGCAUCAGUUUGGGCGGUUGGAUAAAGGUCUCUGUCAUGUACCUCCUUUCGGGGAGAACUUAUAGGGGAGACGACAUGCAACCAGCCCGGACUGAGGUCCGCGCAUCUGCUAGGAUGCUGGCGUAAUGGCUGUAAGCGGCCCGUCUUGAAACACGGACCAAGGAGUCUAACAUCUAUGCGAGUGUUUGGGUGUCAAGCCCGAACGCGUAAUGAAAGUGAACGGAGGUGGGAACCUUUCGGGGUGCACCAUCGACCGAUCCUGAUGUCUUCGGAUGGAUUUGAGUAAGAGCAUAGCUGUUGGGACCCGAAAGAUGGUGAACUAUGCUUGAAUAGGGUGAAGCCAGAGGAAACUCUGGUGGAGGCUCGCAGCGGUUCUGACGUGCAAAUCGAUCGUCAAAUUUGGGCAUAGGGGCGAAAGACUAAUCGAA
This 847-nucleotide ribosomal RNA is filed under the name Epicoccum sorghinum. RNAcentral's name for it is "partial large subunit ribosomal RNA". It matches the Rfam family "Eukaryotic large subunit ribosomal RNA", at positions 74 to 939 of the family's 3401-position model. The record is from RNAcentral. Lineage: Eukaryota; Fungi; Ascomycota; Dothideomycetes; Pleosporales; Didymellaceae.